AAAAUAAUAAUUGUGAAGCCAUUUUUCAAGAAAAGCAUAAUGAAACACAUUGUUUUCUCAAUUGCAAGGCAUUAACGGCAUUUAUAAGUUCAUUCCAGUGGCGUACGCAGAAUUUUUUCAAGGGGAGUGUUCAUGAUUUUCUGAAACUACUAAAAGAAAUUCGACUGAACGAAUACUUUGUAUGGGUCGUUGGUGGCAUAGAAGUUGUUUGCGGUGCACAAAAUGUAACAAGGUAUUGGAGCCUACUCGCUUGAUUUGUAAGGAAGGGAAAGUGUAUUGUCCUGUGCCAUGCUAUAACAACUUGUUUUUUACCAAAGGUUACAGACGCGUCAGAUACUACUGAAAAGAGGGACUUUGAAUGUGAAUGAAAAAGUUAAAAAGCUUUCUAAAAAAUGUUGAAAUAUAUUUCUACACAAAAAAUUUAAUAAGACAUUUUUUCCCCAGAAAAUCACAGCUUCGAAAUAUUUUGUUAAAAAAUAUUUUAGUGGAAAGUACGAAG
Molecule: RNA transcript, 499 nt
Organism: Parasteatoda tepidariorum (common house spider)
Lineage: Eukaryota; Metazoa; Arthropoda; Arachnida; Araneae; Theridiidae
Gene name: cysteine-rich protein 1
Source: RefSeq, a predicted model, not a curated record